ACACACCCCCUACAGGGUGAGGAGGAUUGGCCACAACCCAGCAUGUGCCCUUGACUGGAAUCGAACCCGCAAUUCUUCAGUCUGCAGGCCGACACUCUAUCACUGAGCCACGCCGGCUAGGGCUUGAGGGUCUUUCUUAACCCUCCACUGCCCCUCCUGUAUAAAACUGUAAACUUUCAACUCCCUGUCCCCCUAAGAAACUUUCUACAAUAUGUAACUUAUUUUAACUAUCAUCCCCAAUAUGAGUUCUAGAAAUGCAAGGGUUUAUCUGUGUUGUUCACUGAUACAUUCCCAAGGACCAGAACAGCCCAAGUUACCUGACAAGAGUGCAGUAAAUAUUUGUGAAUUAAUGUUACUCACUUAAGAGAUGUUUGCUGGGCAGCUGGCCCAUGCUGAGUUUGUUAAAGCCAAGAUAAGUAAGACACUGUACUGGCCUUGAAUGCACCAGAAGGAGAACUGACCACGAACAAAAAUGUGCACCACAGGACUGCAAACUAAGGCCACGGGCAGACAUGCCAAAUGAUCCGAGGACAAGGCCUUUGCUUCCCCUUUCUGGGGACCGGUUCAGCUUCCCACCGACUUGCAGCUCUCCAGGCAUCCCCUCCACUCGCCUUCCCCAAGCCGGAGCAGUUACUUUCUUAUCCAGACUGUGUGCAACCUUCGGCCUCUUCACACAGGCACAGGAUUUGAUGAAAGAAAUUUAAAAGGUUCUGCUUGCCCAGAUGGUAUGGCUGAACCUAUACACCAAGAAGUCACCCAUCCAUUCCCAGGUGGUCAGGGCACAUGCCCGGGUUGUGUGCUCCAUCCCCAGUUAGGGGACUUGCAGGAGGCAGCUGAUCGAUGUUUCUAUCUCUCCCUUUUCUUUCCUCUCUCUAAAUAUCAAUAAAACAUUUUUUAAAAAAAUAAAUAAAUAAAAGGCUCUGCUCUUCAGGCUCCACCCUCUCUCCCUUGCCUCAGGGCCACUCCCCACAGUGAGCCAAGUACACAAAAAAUAAACAUUUUUAAAAAGAGAGAGAAAUGAUGACAAUUAGGGAAAUUAAAAGUAUGUCAUUAUUUUAAGUCCCCAAACUAAUUACCCAACCAGAUUUGUUUCACAUAGUGAUUUAUUUUACUCAAAAUUACAUAAUAGGAUCAUAAGGAAUAAGACAGGCAUGCUAAGGUGAUUAAGCAGAGACCUAGCCGUAUUUUUCUAAUAACUAUAAUCAGAAAUGUGCAGGAUUGGGGGAGCACAGGAGACUUUUAUUGAUAAACUGAUACAUUAAGAGUGUCCAAACUUGGUGUUGAAAACUAAGACAACUGUAUAUGGAGGCACUAUUCUUAUUGAUUCUUGCCAAUAACCAACUGUAGUCCCUUUUUGUAAUGCAGUUUCAAUGGAAUUAAGCACAAACAACUUGAAAGCAGUCAGUUACAAAAGGUAGUUGUGGUCAGGUAGUUAGUUGUACUACGUAAAUUUGCACAUUUGGGGGGAAAUCCCAAAUAAGUUCUACUACGGUGGAUAGCUGUGGGUCAUAAAAGUGGAAGAGUCUUUCUAUUAAAAGUCACAGCAUUAAUUUCUGAAAUCUUAACAUUAAAUUCCUCGAGUUCAGAAUGUCUAAGUUUUUGUCUGUGUGCACUGACAAAAUUGUAUUUGUUUGUUUUUAUUUUCAUACUAAUAAAAUAGAUUAUAAAGUUA
Pipistrellus kuhlii (Kuhl's pipistrelle) is the source of this 1672-nucleotide long non-coding RNA. RefSeq lists it as uncharacterized. NCBI's taxonomy places the organism in Eukaryota, Metazoa, Chordata, Mammalia, Chiroptera, Vespertilionidae. The transcript has 2 exons. The record is from RefSeq and is a predicted model, not a curated record.